RNAcentral lists this ribosomal RNA (498 nucleotides) under uncultured bacterium. Its description in RNAcentral is "bacterial SSU rRNA". It matches the Rfam family "Bacterial small subunit ribosomal RNA", at positions 899 to 1397 of the family's 1533-position model. The record is from RNAcentral.
ACUCAAAGGAAUUGACGGGGGCCCGCACAAGCGGUGGAGCAUGUGGUUUAAUUCGACGCAACGCGAAGAACCUUACCUGGGCUCGAAAUGUACAGGACAGCGGUAGAAAUAUCGUCUCCCAGCAAUGGGUCUGUAUAUAGGUGCUGCAUGGCUGUCGUCAGCUCGUGUCGUGAGAUGUUGGGUUAAGUCCCGCAACGAGCGCAACCCUUAUCUCCAGUUGCUACCAUUUAGUUGAGCACUCUGGCGAAACCGCCUCGGAUAACGGGGAGGAAGGUGGGGAUGACGUCAAGUCCUCAUGGCCUUUAUGUCCAGGGCUACACACGUGCUACAAUGGCCGGUACAAACCGCUGCAACCCCGCGAGGGUGAGCUAAUCGGAAAAAGCCGGCCUCAGUUCGGAUUGGAGUCUGCAACUCGACUCCAUGAAGCUGGAAUCGCUAGUAAUCGUGGAUCAGCAUGCCACGGUGAAUACGUUCCCGGGCCUUGUACACACCGCCCGU